This 2232-nucleotide ribosomal RNA is filed under the name Triticum aestivum (bread wheat). RNAcentral's name for it is "partial small subunit ribosomal RNA". Lineage: Eukaryota; Viridiplantae; Streptophyta; Magnoliopsida; Poales; Poaceae. The record is from RNAcentral.
AUGGCGUACUCCAAGCCUGUCAUCAUCCUCGCCGCCCUCCUCCUCACCGCCAUUGUCAUUGCUACGGAUGCACAGUCGACACUACAGAUAGAUUGCCCGUCAGCGUGCAACGCUCGUUGCUCGAAGAACUGGAGGAACAAGAUAUGUAACAAGGACUGCAAUAUUUGUUGCGAAAAGUGUAACUGCGUCCCUUCCGGCACCGGCCAGGAGACCCGUAAUGAAUGCCCCUGCUACGCCAACUUGGUUGACUCAAAGACCGGCAAACUCAAGAGAAGAAGUCGAGGAGCCCCCGGUUCUGAGAAGGAGCAGGGGAGGAGAACACUAAAUGUAGGAGCGUCGGAGUACAUGCCAGGUGGGGCGACAAAAGCAUGGUUGUGUAGGAACUUGACAGAUCGUGUACCACGCCAUGUCUUGUGCUGCUGCGGAUGUCACUUUGUUCAUCCAUUUGUAAGGCAUAAUCCAUUUCAAAGUCAAGUGCGCAACAAGCACAGACUGCUAAAUCGACCAAUUAAUCAUGCAUCCAGCAAGAACUACAACAAUGAAGUUCAGGAAACUCGGGAGGUGAAAGUAAAAAACAGAUGGACACAGAACUCGAGAAAGACCCAUGAGGAAGGGGUGAAUCGGAAAACCGAGACCUCGGAAAAGGAAGGGAAUAAAGCAUAUGUGCUCUGCUCCAUGCGGAGUGGGAAAGUUAUCAUUAAGAACCCCAUCAUCCAUGGCUACCAGGCCAGGACAGGUCUAUGUGAACUUUGGAUUGGGCAAUCUCCCUCGAGGGGUCAUUGGGGCGAUUCAACGAGCUGGGGCCGUUUGUCAUUGUUAUGGAGCUCUGAAAGCGAGGGGUUGAGGGACAAGUUAUAUAUAUGCAAGGAUUGGACCCCUUUAGACGGGACAUUUGAGUCUUUGGUGUUUAACCCGCCUGUUUCCAGGCGUCGUGUCUUACAUGGGGCUUCAAUGUUGAGCCCCAACUCAAGGUCCAUGGUGGAAGAAAAAUUUCCAAAAAUGAUGCGAGGAGAAGCAGUCGAGGAGCCCCCGGCCCUGAGAAGGAGCAGGGGAUCGGAGGAGAGCACUAAAUGUAGGAGCGUCGGAGUUUGGGCCAGGUGGGGCGACAAAAAGCAUGAUUGUGGGCCUGAGACCGUCAAGGCCUCCUCCUCUGCUAUCUGUGUCUCCGUGUUCUCACUGCUGCCGAUGGCGCCUUGCCACUACCUCUCAGAUCCAUCCUCCCUAUGGACUGGGCCGAAGCCUAUUGCGAACCCUCUGCAACUGCCGUCUCCACCAAACAAAUCUGCUGGUCGAAUCUUCCCGCACGGGGUUGAUUCUGCUCGAUCCCCGCAGGCAGCGCCGCCACAGGACAAUGGAGGGGCUCCAAAGAGACGCCACUAUCAAGCAGGCUCCUUAAGCAUUAAGAUAACGAAAAGCAACUUUCUUGAUCCACGGAUCGGGAAGAGGACCGACGUCCUGAGCCAUGGCUCGACUAGCUGCCAUCGACCACCACGUGUCCUCCGUCUUCGUCUUGGCCCACAGCUCAGAUUAGAGGAGGGAAAUUUCCUUCUGCACAACGCGUAUAAAAAGCCUUCCAUCGCUCCACCAGUACCACCAACCCAAAUUUGUAAGAGAUCUGAAGGCGACAUCCUCUACGCGCAAAGGCAGGCGUGGGAGGACCCCAGCAACGUGCUCCAAAGCUGGGAUCCAACCCUUCCCGAUCCCUGCACCUGGUUUCAUGUCUUUUGCUCGAGCGACGGUUCCGUUGUCCGUGUGGAUUUGGGCAAGGCGGGUAUCUCAGGCCCCCUGAUUCCGGAGCUGGGAGGUCUUCAGCAUCUUCAGUAUCUUGUGCUGUAUGCAAAUAACAUCACCGGACCGAUACCAGCGACCUUCGGCAACCUAACAAGCCUGAUCACUCUUCAUCUCUAUGACAACCUUCUCAUUGGAGCCAUACCGGCCUCACUCGGGGCCGUCCGGGCGCUGCGUUAUCUGUAUGAGUUCUGGUCACAUUACAAGCGGCUGAACGGGAAUAUGCUGACUGGCACAGUUCCGCCCAAGAUUCUCUCUCUUGUUCUUGUGGGGAACUUGGCUGAACUACAGUUGAACCGAGACACCAUAUUUCUUAUUCAUUAUCUUGCAGAAAUGUUGCCAAAAACAGUCUGGAAGGCACUGUCAGAUCAUCUCGACGGUGGAGAGCUUGGCAUCCAUGCAGUGGCCUUCGUCAUCCAGGAUACACUGAAGACUGCGAGCUAA